GACGAACGCUGGCGGCGUGCUUAACACAUGCAAGUCGAACGGUGAAGCUCCAGCUUGCUGGAGUGGAUCAGUGGCGAACGGGUGAGUAACACGUGAGCAACCUGCCCCUGACUCUGGAAUAAGCGCUGGAAACGGCGUCUAAUACUGGAUACGAGAAGGGUCCGCAUGGGCACUUUCUGCAAAGUUUUUCGGUUGGGGAUGGGCUCGCGGCCUAUCAGCUUGUUGGUGAGGUAAUGGCUCACCAAGGCGACGACGGGUAGCCGGCCUGAGAGGGCGACCGGCCACACUGGGACUGAGACACGGCCCAGACUCCUACGGGAGGCAGCAGUGGGGAAUAUUGCACAAUGGGCGAAAGCCUGAUGCAGCGACGCCGCGUGAGGGAUGACGGCCUUCGGGUUGUAAACCUCUUUCAGCAGGGAAGAAGCGAAAGUGACGGUACCUGCAGAAGAAGCACCGGCUAACUAC
RNAcentral lists this ribosomal RNA (465 nucleotides) under uncultured bacterium. RNAcentral describes it as "partial 16S ribosomal RNA". It matches the Rfam family "Bacterial small subunit ribosomal RNA", at positions 28 to 504 of the family's 1533-position model. The record is from RNAcentral.